RNAcentral lists this transfer RNA (99 nucleotides) under Planosporangium mesophilum. RNAcentral describes it as "tRNA-Gly". Lineage: Bacteria; Bacillati; Actinomycetota; Actinomycetes; Micromonosporales; Micromonosporaceae. The record is from RNAcentral.
CCGGUUCCCGGCCGCGAGGGUGCGGACCAGCCGGCUCCCGGCCGCCCCGUCACGCCGCCCCGGGACGCCUACGCCGGUUCGAACUCCCGCUGAUCGGUC